AGAGUUUGAUCAUGGCUCAGGAUGAACGCUGGCGGUCUGCUUAACACAUGCAAGUCGAACGGGCUCUUUCGGGAGCUAGUGGCGGACGGGUGAGUAACGCGUGAGAAUCUGCCAAAAGGACUGGGACAACCACUGGAAACGGUGGCUAAUACCGGAUGAGCCGCAACGUAAAAGAGGAAACUCGCCUUUUGAGGAGCUCGCGUCUGAUUAGCUAGUUGGUGAGGUAAGAGCUCACCAAGGCAUCGAUCAGUAGCUGGUCUGAGAGGAUGAUCAGCCACACUGGGACUGAGACACGGCCCAGACUCCUACGGGAGGCAGCAGUGGGGAAUUUUCCGCAAUGGGCGAAAGCCUGACGGAGCAAGACCGCGUGAGGGAGGAAGGCUCUUGGGUUGUAAACCUCUUUUGUCAGGGAAGAACACAAUGACGGUACCUGAAGAAUCAGCAUCGGCUAACUCCGUGCCAGCAGCCGCGGUAAUACGGGGGAUGCAAGCGUUAUCCGGAAUUAUUGGGCGUAAAGCGUCCGCAGGUGGCUAAUCAAGUCUGCUGUCAAAGGUUGGGGCUUAACCCCAAAAAGGCAGUGGAAACUGAGAAGCUAGAGUGCAGUAGGGGUAGAGGGAAUUCCCGGUGUAGCGGUGAAAUGCGUAGAGAUCGGGAAGAACAUCGGUGGCGAAAGCGCUCUACUGGACUGCAACUGACACUCAGGGACGAAAGCUAGGGGAGCGAAUGGGAUUAGAUACCCCCGUAGUCC
RNAcentral lists this ribosomal RNA (748 nucleotides) under uncultured cyanobacterium. Its description in RNAcentral is "bacterial SSU rRNA". It matches the Rfam family "Bacterial small subunit ribosomal RNA", at positions 8 to 796 of the family's 1533-position model. The record is from RNAcentral. Lineage: Bacteria; Bacillati; Cyanobacteriota.